GUAAGUGUUCAAAUGGGUCUCUUUUCUCAUCUAUAAAACAAACAGGUUGGACUAUGUGUUGUCCAUGGUCCCAUCCACUUCCAGACUUGGGUGACUGCACGGAGCUAUCUUUAUCAGGAUAUUGUUACAGUCCCUGAGGCUUCAUCUUCUUCCCCCUCUUUCCUGUUUCCCAGCUGGCAGUGGUAAGGCCGCUGGAGAAUAAUGGCUCUAGACUUGUCACUAGAUGAAUCCUCUUCUCUACCCGCCCAAAGGGCUUUCCCUUCUCCGUAGGAUUUAGCUUGACUCUCACUGGCCCAUUUUGGGUUCCCAGGAUUAUAUUCUCUGCCCUCCUCUCCCUUUAGAUUCUCCCCAUGGGCCUUUGAUUCGCUCUGAUGGCUUCUUAUUUCACCUACGGUUUCUGAGAAGUCAAGUUGGAAGCGGUCGCUCAGCUUGUACAUAAGCGGCAGACUUGGCAGCCGUAUGAUCCCAUUGCCUUUGUUAUUUCUGCUAUAACAUGACUCCUGCUUCUGAAACUUCGCUUGAUCUAAAUUUCCCACCCUUGCUUGAGACGUGGCCAAAGCCCUGCCUUUUCUAUCAUCACCUCAGCCUGGCCAAGUGCUCUUCGCUCUCAAUCUACCCAGCAAGUGCUGUCUGCACUACACAUCAGGCACCGCCUUGGGACUUAUGCCUUGGGGUUUAGUGAUCAUACUACUAUGAAUCCUGGCUCUAUUACUUAUUAGCUGUGCAACCUUGGGAAAAUUACUUAACCUUUCUGGGCCUCAGUUUCCUCAACUACAAACUAGAGAUGCUAGUACCUCACAAGGUUUUUGUGAGGAUAAAUAGGUAAAGGCAAAUAGCAUAGUGCCUGACACAUGAAGGAGCGCUCGAUAAAUUGACUCGUCACAAGAUGUAGGGGUGAGCCUUGGCUAGCCCAAGCUGAUCAACAUAAUCCCAUCCAUCUUGCUAGAGAGACUGGGUUAGAGAUGGGUACAUGAACUUGACUAGCCCAGAGUGACUUUUGGGACCACAGUUGGAUGAUGUGGCCUCAGAUGUGAGACCUGGCAUUGCUAGAACCGUUUCUUUUACUAGCAGGAAGCCAGCCUGAGAGCAAAGCUGACACUUGUAGUAAGGCAGAGCUGAGAAAUCAAUGAGAAUUAGAACUAGAGGCCUGAUCAAGUAUCUCCUGAAGUGCCUCCGACCUCUAGAAUUUUCCAUUGCUUGAGCCAAUUUAAAAAUUUAGUAUUUAAACUCACGUGCUAGGUUUUAUUUUUAAUCAUUUGCAACUGGAAAUAUCCUGACUGACACUCUAUAUUAUUAUUAUUACCUUCCCAUGUAUGCGCAACCCUCUGUCAUUAGACUGGAAUGUCCUUUGGAACAUAGCUAACUCACUAAGCUCUAUGCUGCCAUGCCACCUAGUACAGUUUUGUCACAUAGCAGGUUUUCAUUCACCUACACUUCAUGCCACCAUACUCAUUUCCCCCUGGGAUUAUGGCCUUUGAGCGUCUUUAAGGCGGAAAGAGAAGGUGGCUAGAGUCCCAGGGAGAGGGGUCCCCUCUUGCUUCUUCAGCUUCUUACUGAGGCAUAAUGACGGGAAAGUAAAAUACUUCCUGGAUUAGCUAAGCUUUACUGAGCACUAGGCAUUGUACACACAGAACCAUCCUUUUCCUCUUGGUUACCUAUGGCUACUGCUAUUGUGCCCUGUGUUACAGAUAAGAAACUGAUGCUUAGAGAGGUUACUCAACUUGUGUAGGUCACACAGCUUCUACAUAUCAUAACUUAGAAUCCUGAACUCAAAUUACCGUAUCCCUGUCUUUAAGUUCUCAUUCCACUUAAAGAAAAUGAAGCUAGGAGUCUUAGCCAGUGCAUUACGGGUGUGGCUUAUACAUGAAAGAUGAUAUAGAAGUCUAAUCAUCAGACCCAUGCUGAAAAAUAGGCUUUGGACUGGCAUCAAGAGAUUGUGAGCCUGUUGUUUGGCUGGACUCUUCGUUAACCGUUUGAUUGGACGAACAGCAACAGAGAUGAAAGGGAAGGAUGCUCUGGACAAAGGAGACAAAGGCCAGGAACAGAAGUGGGAAAGUGCACAGUGUGCUCAGAGGGCCAAGAACUGGCUGGUGGAGCUGUAGCAUAUGGAGCCCCAGUCACCUUGGGGUAGCGUGGGAAUGAAGAGAUAUCAGGGGCGUGGUCUAAAAAGCACCCGGGAGGGAUU
Long non-coding RNA from Equus caballus (horse), 2185 nucleotides. The record is from Ensembl. NCBI's taxonomy places the organism in Eukaryota, Metazoa, Chordata, Mammalia, Perissodactyla, Equidae.